This 2666-nucleotide long non-coding RNA is filed under the name Homo sapiens (human). Its description in RNAcentral is "HSALNT0395688". The record is from RNAcentral. Lineage: Eukaryota; Metazoa; Chordata; Mammalia; Primates; Hominidae.
AGUGCAUCCCGCCCUAAGCCAGCGGGGCGACCUCACCUUCAGAGACCUCAUCUGCGGGGCUCCCACCUGGCUGGAUCCCGCGCCCGGGGGUCCGGGCGCCGUCUGGAGCUGAGCAGGCAGAUGUGCGGGCGCCGAGGGUGGGGCGAGGGCUGGGGGCGGGCAGAGGGAGGGGAAGGACGGGCUCGAGCGGGACCUCCCAGGGAAACUGAGUCAGUCUGGCUGUGACCAGGGGCGGGCCCAGCAGAGGACCCACACAGAUGGAGGGCGUGGCGGCACAGGACGCCCUGGGGUCGCGGCCUGGAGGGGUCCGCGGGGGCUAAGCCGAGCUGGGACGGGUGGGGGCCGCUGGCAGCCCGCGGCUCGCUCUCUCCGUCCAGUCUCUGUCUCCCGCUGUCUCUCAUCAGCCCCGCCCACCCUGCGCUGGCCACGCCCCUCGGGCCCGGGCCUGGCUGACUUGGAGUCAGUGGGUGCCCCCCGCACGCCGGGACACCCUACAGCCUUCUGGGGAAGGCGGCGCCCUUGGGACCCCCAGGCCACCGGUGGCAGGGAUGCAAUGGCCCGCGUAGGGGUGGCAGGGGCGCUUCCUCGGGAGCCUCAGCCCCUCCAGCCGCCCAGCGCCCUGCCAGGCCUCUUCCCGGCGCUCCCGCCGCCAGGCCCGCAUUAUUCACCAUCUGGGCAGCACCCAAGGCCUGGAGGGGGCGGGGCAGGUCCAGGCGGAUCGGCUCCCGGGGGUCGCCCAGACUCCAGGGCUCCAAAUUCACUGGGUGCGCUGGAACGCGGCACACAGUAGUAGUAUGCCCUGCUUAAUACAUACAGGACAUAUUUGAGGCCCCUUCCAGGGGUGGGGUGGGAGGACAGAGGGAUGGGGGGUGCACCAGACGACACAGCCAGACUGAGAAAGGUGGUCCCAGAGCAGAGACAGGGACCUCGACGCAUCCUCCAUACCCGCUGCGGGGAAAUGGACCCCACCAGCCAGCACGGGGAGGAAACUGAGGCCUGGCGAAAGAAAGAUGCGGCCUGAGGUGGGACGUGAACCCGCGGCCCUGCAGCCCAGACAGCGGCCCCGGAGUGACCACCAGCUUCACCGAAGCCCCUUUACUGUGCCCCCGAGGACACCUGCCUGCCGUUCCCCAGGGCCGUCACCGCCGAUAGCGGUAGCGCUUGAAGUGAAACCACAGCUGGAAGAUGCCGUUGGCAAACUGGCAGCGGAAGCCGUGGCGGUGCGAGUAUUCCCACUCGCGGUUGACGAUCUUGAAAGCGAUGUCCUCGUAGGGCGGCCCCGCGUGGAAGCGCAGGAUGGCGAAAUCCUUGUUGUCGGCGCAGGCCUCCAGGAAGUACUCGGGCGUGGAGCGCUUGUCGAUGAGGUCGGGGUAGAAGAUGUUGAACUUGUAUCCCUGCACGAUCUUGGGCGGUGGGUUGUCAAAGUCGUAGUGCGUCUGGUUGUACUUGUUCCACUCGAAGCCCGUGUGCACGCGGUUGAAGAAGCGCGGCUUGCGUGGCCGGUACUUGUCGGCCCACAGGACGGAGGCUGCCCAGGGAGUGCUCGGACAGCGGCCGGUAAAAGCUUCCACCACCUGUGGCCCCAAGGCCAGUGGGCCAGCAAGCCCAGGAUGAAUGAAGGAACGCCCCAGUGCGCGUGCAGGUGACGGAAUGCACGCUCAGAGACCCGGGGGAGAAGCAGCAAGCAGCUCCCCACUGACGCCAGCGGCUUCGGCCGGGAAAUGAGGCUGGAGAAGCCCCGCCCCCAGCUCGCCCCACUGGCCCCACCCCCUGGCCUCCAGCCCCGCCCUUACCCGUGACCUGGAGCUGCUGGCGCGAGAGCUGCAGGCGCUGCAGGUCCUCAUCCGGUUCCAGCACGUGCGCGUCCAGUGGCAGCUCGUGCGCCGUGAGCAGCCGCGGGCUGUACCUGCCGGCGUCGUAGUCGUCCAGGCUCUGCUGGAUCAGGUCCUCCUCCAUGAGCACCGCCUCGCCCUCGCCCUCGCCCUCACCGUCCCCGUCGCCGUCGCCCUCUGUCGGGGUCGCGCCGUCCACCUCGGCCUCCGCGGGGCCGCCCUCCGAGGAGGGCCCGGGCGGGGUGGGCGCCGCGUCCUCAGGCUCCAGGCUGGGAGGAGAGAGCGUUGGAGGCGCGGAGGCUGCCCACGGCCCCUCCAUCCUGCUCCGCGUCUGCAUCGGCGUCCCCGGGGUGCCGGCCGGGCCUACCUGCGGCUGGGGGACUGGGGCUCCUGCUUGAGGAUGGGGAACAGCGGCUCGCUCUCCACGCCCUGCUCCUGCUUCAGUUUGUACAGCUUCUGCCGCAGCACGUCCUGGUGGCGCUCACGCAGCCUGGGACGCAGAGCCGGGGUCACCCGCAUGGAGGCGAAGGGGCUCCGCGCCCCACCCCCACCGAGAUUCUCACGCCCCUUAUUGCUGCAAGGACCCUGAGAAGGUGGCGAGCAGCCACGGCUCUGGCUGGGACCUUUGCCCAGGCUUGGUCAGUUCAGGGUCAAGGCUUAUGGGAGAGAGGACGAGAGGACGCAGGUACCCUGGUGAACCAUCCCAUGGCAGGGAGAGGUGGGUCUCUGUCUCACGCUGCAGUCUCAGUGUCUUGUGGCUGGGGCUGGCCAGGAGAAGGGGCCCAGCAGGACACCAGCCAACAAGCAUGAUAAAUUUAGAGACAUUUACAAAUU